GUGGGGAAUAUUGGACAAUGGGCGAAAGCCUGAUCCAGCCAUGCCGCGUGAGUGAUGAAGGCCUUAGGGUUGUAAAGCUCUUUCAGUAGGGAAGAUAAUGACGGUACCUACAGAAGAAGCCCCGGCUAACUUCGUGCCAGUAGCCGCGGUAAUACGAAGGGGGCUAGCGUUGUUCGGAUUUACUGGGCGUAAAGCGCACGUAGGCGGAUUGGUCAGUUAGAGGUGAAAUCCUGGAGCUCAACUCCAGAACUGCCUUUAAUACUGGCAGGCUAGAGUCCAGAAGAGGUGAGUGGAACUCCUAGUGUAGAGGUGGAAUUCGUAGAUAUUAGGAAGAACACCAGUGGCGAGGGCGGCUCACUGGUCUGGUACUGACGCUGAGGUGCGAAAGCGUGGGGAGCAAACAGGAUUAGAAACCCUGGUAGUCC
RNAcentral lists this ribosomal RNA (425 nucleotides) under uncultured bacterium. Its description in RNAcentral is "partial 16S ribosomal RNA". It matches the Rfam family "Bacterial small subunit ribosomal RNA", at positions 354 to 796 of the family's 1533-position model. The record is from RNAcentral.